UUUACUGUACAAGUCCCGGAGGAGUAACUGGGGAUUUUAAAGAAACAGACUUUCAUGCAACGCUAGUUUCCUGCUGUUGGUGCUGUUUACCACACAGAGGAGACACGGACUCUACAGGUUACCUGUCAACAUGAUGGAAUCUCUGAGUUGCAGAUGGUACCUUCAGCUUGUCUGCAUGCUGAUCUUUGCUGUGGCACGUGCCAAGCCAGGGUUUUUAAAAAGUAACCAAGUAGGAGGAAACAAUGACCCAGGAAGCUUGGGUGAGAUCGAUCCACAGUGUUGGGAUUCCUCAUCUCUUGCUCUUGCUGAAGUGAAGAAACUCAGAGUAGCAGAUUCUGUCAAUGGUCUUUGGGACUUCAUGAUCUUCCUGAAGAUGUCUGAGUAUCCGAAGCAUAAUGCCCUCUUCAAUGACCUGGCCCAGCUAUUCUGGGAUAUCUAUGUGGAUUGUGUUCUAUCACGGUCCCAUGGAAUUGGCAGGCGAUACAUUGUGUCAAAGAAAUACACAAAAUAUACACAGAAUUUUACAUAAAAUUUGAAAGGUUUUACUGGGAAGCAUAUGGUCUGAAUACUGAAAAAAACACAUGAAAUAAAUAUGAGUGAAAAUAUAUUUUCUUUAAGGAUGACUGUCUGCUUCAUACAUAGGGGACUGUAGACUAGACACCUUACCUUUUCAUUAAAGUAGUCCUGAGUUGGUACUGCAUACAAUUAAUAUCAAGGGAACAGUGAAUACCAGUAUUAAGCGCAUUAAUUAUUUUUAAUUAUCACAUCAAUAAUACAAAAAUGCAAACUUACUAUGCCCUUUGUAAGUUCGGUUUUAUUAAAAAAAAAAAUAUUUUGUAUACUUCGAGGCAGACAUCAUUUCUCAGGAAACCUGCCAAAGUUGAAACUAGACUAUUUCACCAGUAUUAUUUGCAGACAGACUCCCUUUUUGAGUUUAACUUUAUACUGUAAUUCGAUCAUUGUAAUGCAGAUCCAACAUAUUUUGUAUAGAUGUAUUUCACAAUUAAAAGUAAAAAUGUAUAUUUUGUUAAUGAGGUAAGCAUUUUCAUCUAUCAUUUUUUAUGUUUACAAAGA
Molecule: long non-coding RNA, 1074 nt
Organism: Acipenser ruthenus (sterlet)
Lineage: Eukaryota; Metazoa; Chordata; Actinopteri; Acipenseriformes; Acipenseridae
Exons: 3
Source: RefSeq, a predicted model, not a curated record